GGACUACUAGGGUUUCUAAUCCUGUUUGCUCCCCACGCUUUCGCUGCUCAGUGUCAGUUGCCUUCCAGGUCGCCGCCUUCGCCUCUGGUGUUCCUCCCAAUAUCUACGAAUUUCACCUCUACACUGGGAAUUCCGCGACCCUCUCCGGUACUCAAGCUCGCCAGUUUCGCCCGCACUUUCCAGGUUGAGCCUGGAGCUUUCACAAGCGACUUAACAAGCCACCUACCAGCGCUUUACGCCCAAUAAUUCCGAACAACGCUCGCACCCUCUGUAUUACCGCGGCUGCUGGCAC
RNAcentral lists this ribosomal RNA (292 nucleotides) under uncultured bacterium. RNAcentral's name for it is "partial 16S ribosomal RNA". The record is from RNAcentral.